GGGCCCGCACAAGCGGUGGAGUAUGUGGUUUAAUUCGAUGCAACGCGAAGAACCUUACCAGGGCUUAAAUGUAAGUUGCAUAGAUCAGAGAUGGUCUUUUCUUCGGACUACUUACAAGGUGCUGCAUGGUUGUCGUCAGCUCGUGCCGUGAGGUGUCAGGUUAAGUCCUAUAACGAGCGCAACCCCUGUCGUUAGUUACCAGCAAGUAAUGUUGGGUACUCUAGCGAGACUGCCGGUGCAAACCGUGAGGAAGGUGGGGAUGACGUCAAAUCAUCACGGCCCUUACGUCCUGGGCUACACACGUGCUACAAUGGCCGGUACAGAGAGCAGCCACUACGCGAGUAGGAGCGAAUCUUCAAAGCCGGUCUCAGUUCGGAUCGGAGUCUGCAACUCGACUCCGUGAAGCUGGAAUCGCUAG
Molecule: ribosomal RNA, 418 nt
Filed under: uncultured bacterium
Lineage: Bacteria
Description: bacterial SSU rRNA
Rfam family: Bacterial small subunit ribosomal RNA
Source: RNAcentral